Molecule: transfer RNA, 67 nt
Filed under: Culter alburnus (topmouth culter)
Lineage: Eukaryota; Metazoa; Chordata; Actinopteri; Cypriniformes; Xenocyprididae
Also listed under: 1 other name
Description: tRNA-Ser
Source: RNAcentral
GUACUGCUAAUCCUUAUGCACCGCGGUUAAAAUCCGCGGCUUCCUCACGCUUCUGAAGGAUAACAGU